Molecule: ribosomal RNA, 378 nt
Filed under: Sclerophrys maculata (flat-backed toad)
Lineage: Eukaryota; Metazoa; Chordata; Amphibia; Anura; Bufonidae
Description: partial 12S ribosomal RNA
Rfam family: Bacterial small subunit ribosomal RNA
Source: RNAcentral
GCCCAGCCGUAAACUUUUAUUUACAUCUAAAUCGCCAGGGAACUACGAGCUAAGCUUAAAACCCAAAGGACUUGACGGUACCCCACAUCCUACUAGAGGAGCCUGUUCUGUAAUCGAUAAUCCGCGUUUAACCUCACCAUCUUUAGUUAAUCAGCCUGUAUACCUCCGUCGUCAGCUUACCACGUGAGCGCAAAUUAGUGGGCCCAAUGUUAUUACACCAAUACGUCAGGUCAAGGUGCAGCAAAUAAGAUGGGAAGAGAUGGGCUACACUUUCUACUUUAGAAAAAACGGAAAACUACCUAUGAAACCUAGUUGGAAGGCGGAUUUAGCAGUAAAAAGGAAUCAACACGUCCAUUUUAACUUGGCACUGGGGUGUGU